RNAcentral lists this ribosomal RNA (283 nucleotides) under unidentified marine bacterioplankton. RNAcentral describes it as "partial 16S ribosomal RNA". It matches the Rfam family "Bacterial small subunit ribosomal RNA", at positions 65 to 339 of the family's 1533-position model. The record is from RNAcentral.
AACGGAAUCCAUGGUGUAGCAAUACACCGGAAGAUCUAGUGGCGAACGGGUGAGGAACACGUGAGAAACGUACCCCAGACUUUGGGAUAACAGUUCGAAAGGACUGCUAAUACCAAAUAACGUCGGAAGUCCGCAUGGACAUCUGACGAAAGGGACUCCGGUUUGGGAGCGUCUCGCGGACCUAUCAGCUAGUUGGAGGGGUAACGGCCCACCAAGGCAACGACGGGUAGCUGGUCUGAGAGGAUGGUCAGCCACACUGGGACUGAGACACGGCCCAGACUCC